GACGAACGCUGGCGGCGUGCUUAACACAUGCAAGUCGAACGGAAAGGCCUUUUCGGAGGUACUCGAGUGGCGAACGGGUGAGUAACACGUGGGUGAUCUGCCCUGCACUCUGGGAUAAGCCUGGGAAACUGGGUCCAAUACCGGAUAGGACCGCACUUUAGUGUGUGUGGUGGAAAGUUUUUUCGGUGUAGGAUGAGCCCGCGGCCUAUCAGCUUGUUGGUGGGGUAAUGGCCUACCAAGGCGGCGACGGGUAGCCGGACUGAGAGGUUGGUCGGCCACAUUGGGACUGAGAUACGGCCCAGACUCCUACGGGAGGCAGCAGUGGGGAAUAUUGCACAAUGGGCGCAAGCCUGAUGCAGCGACGCCGCGUGGGGGAUGACGGCCUUCGGGUUGUAAACUCCUUUCGCCAGGGACGAAGCGUUUUGUGACGGUACCUGGAGAAGAAGCACCGGCUAACUACGUG
Molecule: ribosomal RNA, 463 nt
Filed under: uncultured bacterium
Lineage: Bacteria
Description: partial 16S ribosomal RNA
Rfam family: Bacterial small subunit ribosomal RNA
Source: RNAcentral